This is a non-coding RNA of Chlorocebus sabaeus (green monkey), 8097 nucleotides long. The record is from RefSeq and is a predicted model, not a curated record. Lineage: Eukaryota; Metazoa; Chordata; Mammalia; Primates; Cercopithecidae.
GCACUCCAGCCUGGGAGACAGAACGAGACUAUACCUUAAAAAAAAUUGUGUGUAUAUAUAUAUGUAUGAGGGCAUAUGUUACCAAAGGAUAAAUACCUCACAGAAGAGUCAACACAGUAACAAAUGUGGGCCUCUGCCCUCGGAGGCUCUCAUUAGUUACCAGCGGGGAGACCAGGCUUCAGUUGGGGGCCCUAGGACCUCCCUCUCCUCAUGGUUCUGUUAUGAGCAACCUGGGAAAGUGAGGGGAAAAUGGGGAUUGUUAAGUAGUGCAGCUCACAUCUAACAGCCAAUCUGCCGUGAGGGAAGGGCACGCUGAGAAGCGCUGCUCCCUCUGGCUGGACUGUUAUUUACAAGGCCUAGUGAGACCACAGGUGGUGACCCUGGUGCUGGUCCUUAGGGAGGAGUCUCUGAAGUCAAGACGGAAGGCAGUGGAAACCCAGAGGGUCAGGCACUGAUUCACAAGGCCUGCUCAACACCCAAUAGGCAAAGGCCCCCAAAAUAAGCCGUUCAGAUCCACAUGCCUGUGGUGCCCCCCACCUCGGGUGACCAUCUGUCCUGGGAUGCUACUGGCCUUUUAGUAUGAAAAACAGAAAUUCCCAGGAAAAGCAAGAUGAGUUGGUUGCCCUUCCCCACCUUUAUGAGCUAAAUUGAAUUGUCCUCUGUGGAGGUUCCAAGGAGAGACCCAGAAGUGUGUCAGGAAGGGUGGGUAGGGAGGGCAAACAGAGACAACUCGGACCUUGCCUGCCCAUGCCUUGGGGGCAUAAAACAAGGAAAGAAGUCAAGUUGUCUGCCUUCUGAUGCUUUGUCAUUCACUUAAAUGCAGGUGAGCCCAUUUUGGCAUUGAGCAUGGAAGACUUGGAAGCUAAGAGACUACAACAAAGUCAGGGAAGAAGCAAAAAUGCUGCCCACUGACAUUCAUGGGCCCCAAAGCAGACCUCACCCAUUUUACUUGCUGAUGUUACCUGCCAGACCCUGGCUGACACUUGCAUUUAUGGCCCCUGAUACAGGGGAUGCUGUUCAGAGCUCUUCACGCCUGCCUCUUCCUGUGCAAACCCUCAGGCCAGUCCAAGGGCCAGUAGGCAGGUAGAGAAAGAGAUGGUGAGUUGGCCUCCACCCUUCCUAUGGCAGAUGAUGUCCUCUCUCUGCAGUUUAAGAUUUCCAUGACUCUUCUUUCCUCAGCCGCCAGCACCGCUGUCACCCCAGCAGGCAGCGCCCAAGACUCCAGGUCAUCUCUGGUGAUGGGGCAAGGGAGGGAGUCUGGCAAGAGGGCAACAAAAAAGUCUCCCCCGUAGUUGUGGUCUCGUUUGCUAGUUUUUAAUUUUAAAAAUUGCAGGGGCAUUCUACCUGGCCAUGUGUUUUACUGACAAAAGCAGAGAGUCUAAUAUUAAGUUGUUGUCCUGUGGAGUAUGUGUCCAAGUGAGUGAUUGGGUUUGCUUCUAGCCUGUGUCCUUGGCAGUUGCAUUAGUUCUGAAAGAAACAAAGCUCUGUCCUCCACCAGCGCUCCGCAAAAAGCAAGGCGGGAAGCUUAGCCAAGCGCGCAGAUCUCUACUGUGAACUUUUCUGCCGCAUGUGGGGAAUUACUGGCCCUUGAAAGCCAUCGCAGACAGAUAAGAAGCAAGGUUAUAACAUGAUUCGACACGGAGUUUUGAAGAGUCUCACUUAGAAGUGUGAAAAGUGCAGCUUUAGAACCACCAUUUCAGGAGAUUAAGAUUUGAAAUCGUGUUGCCUUAUCUUGCCGUUUUCUUUUCACAGGCUUUUCCUUAGUUUUCGCCGUGAAGUCCUUUUUUUUUUUCCUUCCUUUCUUUCCCCAGUGUACACUCUAAGGUUUGCAACGCUUCACGCUUGAAGACUUGAGAAAAACUGAGUCAAUUCAAUUUGACCGACUUCAUAGUCACUGGCUUCAUGUGCUUUUGCUUGCUGUAAAAAGAAAAGCAUGUGAAAAAAAUACAUUGCCACGGAAUGAAUGGAUCCGUCUCAAAUAUUAUUGCUCAUUUUUACCUGUCCCUUAUGUACAGACUCCUUCCAGCCACAGCUCUUCCGAAUGGGCCGCACCCUCCAGGCCAGUUCAGCACCACACCCGGCCACACCAGCAACAUCUUUGCCAAUGCCAGUGCCCUGGGUCUCUUCUCGAUUCCCUGAGAUUCCUGGAGCUGCUCACAAGGCUUGAGGCCCUGGGCUCUUGGCAGCUGAAACAAAACCUGAAAGAAACUCAUUGGGCUUUGCAAUCAAUGUGCUGAAACGUCUCCAGCAGCAAGUGGCCACAUCAUCCCAUUUCCGGUCACGCAGAUGCUGGAGCUACUGGGCUCCUAGUCCCAAGUUGAUGGUCUUAGAGAACUUGAGAUCAGAUUCUGGUCCAGAGGGAAGAACAGAUUUGGGUUCCUGAGAAGAAACCAGGAAGCAAUGGCUAGCCUCAGAUUUUCUGGAGCAAUCCUGCUUUUGAGCAUUCUUAUUUUGUGGUCUACAAGAAUUAUUUUGUCCAUAUUAGAGCAUGUGUUCUAACUGUGGCAGGGUGGGCAUAGGGAGGUGGAGAGGUUGGGGAAGAUGUAGGUGUAGCAACUGACAGAAACUGAGGUUGGGGAGCUGUUCUGGGGAGGCCACUGUCGCUAUCAGGAUACUGUGUUAUUAAGGGGGCCACUGACAGAAACGGGUUAAGUCUGGUUUAUCUGUUUAGCCCAUUCUCAGUCUUGUCAGCUAAACAGAAAUCAGGGCUCUGGUGUAUUGGUGGAGGAAGAAGAAUGGGAGGAUCUGGACCUGGCAAUACUCAUGAGGGCCUAAAGCUUUGGCAGCGUUGCAAUGGGUGUGAUGCACAGCCAGAGGCUUUCAGAUGGCACUGGGAAGCUGGGAUGGAGGUUAAGGGGGAAAGGAAGACCCAGAGAGGGAGCAGGACAAACUUUACCUCUUCUACUGUUUUGUUUAGGCCAACCUUAAUACCUGGAAUUUAACUUCUGAAUAAUGAAUUUAAAAAGAACAAAUAAGAUAUGAAGAUACUGAUGCCAAUAGUGUGGCGCAUUGCUAGGGCCUUGGGUCAGUUCCUAGCAGUUUUGCUAGCAUGCAUGUUAGCAGGUGACAGGAUAACCACCGUGACCCCAGAGGGUUUUGACAAUCUGGCCCUGAUCUUUCUCAAUUCAUCUUUUUACUUUCCCAUCAACCCACGCUCUUGUCUUUCUGAAUUCUUCCCCAUUCCCAGACACCCUGCAUUUAUACCACUGUGCUGGGAGUAUUCUCACUGCUUGGUGGACAACCAUCUCUCUUUAUUCUCUGGAAAAUUCUUAUUAUCUAUUCUUUGCUUUCCCUUUCGGGUUCCUUUUAUUUGAUUUUUCUAGCUCUCUAGAUAAAUUAAUCUUAUCCUUUUCUGAACUUUUGUUUUUAUUAUAACAUAUGUAGAAUUAUAAUUAUUUCAUCCUUGGUGUCUCUGCUAGAUCAUGUAUGCUUUAAGGGAGGAGACCAAAGUUAAAUCAAGUUGCCUUGCCUAGCAUUAAACAAAAUGAACGUCUGAGAUAUGCGGUACUCUCAGUAUUUGGUAGGUGUUUAUAAAAGGGAAAGAGAGUGGGAGUAGAGAAGCUCUGUCUCUGCUAUCAAUGUUGUGUGUUGGUAUAAACAUGUGUUCAUUUAAACACACACACACACAGAAAUAUAGAAGCAUUAAUACUUACUAUGUGCCAUGUACUGUGCUAAGAAAUUUUACAUGGAUGUUUUAAAUACAAACAUCCUCACAAGGGUUUCUAAUGCAGAUAAUGGUAUUGUCUCUAUUUUAGAAGUGAGAAAAUAGAAACAAGUAAGGGUUUAAGUGAUUUAUCCAAGGUCACAUAGGUCACAUAGCAUCGAUUCAAAUUCAGACAGUCUAACUCCAGAGCCCAAGACUUUAUCUGUUAUUAUUAAUUAUCUCUGUUUAUCGCAUCUCAGUGGAAACUGUCUCUCUUUUUUUAGCUGCUUGACUCCCACUUUAGGAGCUGAAAACUCCAGACCUUUUUAAGCCUCCCUUGCAGCUAGGAUGCAGGUAUGUGACCCAGGCUUGACUAAAUGGAUGCACCUACUAUUGCCUUUGAACUGGGAGCUGGUCACACAUAGAGACAGAGACAGCAGGAAAUCCAGAGGGACGGAGGUGCAGCAGCACUGUUCAAAGUCCUGUGUGUGUGGCUGCCAGUCAGCCUGUGAUAUAUAUGUUCAGUGUGAGGGGAGCGAUGGUUGUUUCCACAUUAGAUGGGUUAGGUGGUGUGAUUUUAGUUGUCCACCUGCUGCCUAGCUGCCCUUGUCUGGCCUCCUUUUCUAAGCCUGGUUUCAACACUGUUGAAAUGCCCUGAGCUAUUCAACAAUGCAGCAACACAUGCUUUUCUCUGCUGAAAUCAGGUAGAGUUAUUUUCUGUUGCUUGCAGUAAACAACUCUGACUGGUAUAAUAUCCAAACUUAUUAUCUUGAAUAUAAGACUCUCACAUACAUCAUUCUCACCUGGAAGAAAAAAACACAUAAGUAACCAGAAUGUUGUGAAUGUUCAACAGAGCAGAGGGUGAAUGUGACAGAUUGUGUAUCAUCAGGAACAAUUUCUAGUUUAUCCAUCUGACUACUUACUUAUGACUCAUUUGGCAAUUUGCAUGGAUGGUUAUAGGACUUUUUAGUAUAUUCUUACAAAACUUGUGUCCAAAAAUGGACUUUUACCUUCCAGUGUAAUCUGACUCUGGGCUUCAUAAAUUUCAUAAUAAAUUUUUCCUUUGAAUGAUCAGAAAGAAAAAUGCUAAAUACCUUUCUGGCUCAUUAUAGGCAAAAUGGCUUCCUGAAAUUGUAGUAGUUAAAAAACUAAGAUCACAGAGGAAGUUGGAUGGAACUGCUGAAUUAUUUAAUAUAAGCUGACUCAUUAGAGCCUUAGCUUCUGAGAUGGAAGAAAAUAUGAUGGUUUACAUAAAGGUUACUGAUAAAUUCCAAGAUGAAAUUCACUUUGAAGGGAGUAAAAUGUUGUUGGGGGUAACUAAUCCCUGUGGCAUAAUGCAGUGAAGGAGUUGAGUUUACAGUUUGACAGGGGGUUAUGAUCACAAGACAUUUCUGAAUUGCGGGAGAGGCCACUGCUUCAGAUGGUCAAGUGGCCUACUGAGACGUCAGAUAUUAGACAGGAAUAAACUUUACAGAGGCCAAAGGUUUGACCUUAGGAAGUCUAGACAUGCUAAUGUAAUUAUCAUCACUCUAAUCAGAUUAUAAAGUAAACACAUGCUCUACAAAGCAAAGAAUCUCAUGGGGUUGUUAUUUAGAAGAUGAAGAAAAGCUGCUUCCUGUCUCGCUUAGGAAAGCAAGGGGAAGAAAUGGGGUGGUUGCAGCAUGAGGGAUGUUGGUUUGAUCAGUGGUUCUCGACUGGGGACGAUUUGGCAAUAUGUGGAGACAUUUUUGGUCUAACCAUUACAACUGUGGGAGUGGGGAGACAUCCGGCAUUGCUACUGGCAUUGAGUGGGGAGAUGCCAGGGUUGCUGCUGAAUAUCCUGUCAUACACAGGACACCCCUGUAACUAAAGAAUUAUCUGGCCCCAAAUGUCAAAAGUGCUGAGGCUGGGAAACUCUGGGCUAGACGUAAGAAAUAACUUUUUGAAUCUGAAGUGAUGUAAAUAGAAGAAUAAGGUUAUAGGCCCAGGACUACUAUGGACCACGUGAAGCACCUGCUUCAGGGAACAAAAUUUGAAAGAGUGCACCACACCUCAGUAAUCAAGAAAAAUAAUAUUUAGAAACUCAAAUUUAAUGCAAAAAUAUCCAUGGUGUACAAGCUAUCAAAAUUUUAAAUAAAGACAGGAUUCAACAGAGAUAGGAUUAUGGUAGGGAAGUUAAAAUGUUAUUUAUCUUGAUUACUGAAGCUGUGGGCACUCCCUGCCUUACAUUUUGUGCUCAAGGUAAGUGCCUCAGCUGCUUCACACUAGCCCUGGCCUGUUGGAUCAUCAUCAAUGGUAGAACACCAUUUUAGCUAAAAGGUAAUUUGGCUUGAUUAUGACCAAUGAGGGGUGUUCAAGCCUGGUGAAAGUAAGUGAGAAGAUUCAGCUGUAGAAUUUUAGACUUCAUGAAUAUAUUAAGUAAGGAAGCAACCCCCAUAUUGAGCUGCAUGGAAAUUCCCUAAUAUGGGUUUUUAAUCUCUGUGAUUUAUAGCCUGGCUCUGAUUAUCCAAGACCAUCUUCAUUAUGAGUGGUAAUGUAUGGCUGGCAUCCCAAAGAAACAUGUGGCAUUAACUGUGGUCUUUAUCAACACGUUUCUGUUGCAAUUCAGCCUUCCAGAAAAAUAACCACUGUUACGACUCUUCCAUUUUACUUACCAAGUAAACCAUUCCUUCUCAUUCUCUCCUCUCCACGAUCCCACUUCACCUCAAAACCAAUUUAGCAUUCUCUUCUGGGCCCUAUUGAUAUUGACAUUAUUUUAUAUUACUUGCACCCUUCCCCACAAAAAAAAUGCCUUAGAGAGAUUUUUUAAGGGGAGGAUUUAAAAUGUUUUUCCUUCUAAUGGGCUUGGGAAAUUGUCUAUGUCUAAAUUAUAAGUUUAUGUAUGUGGGAUAUAGAGUACUUACCAGAUAAUGCUGACCCCCUCAGAAAUGGUAGAUAAAACUUUCAAAGAUAGUUUACUAUUGUGGGCAGGGCAGCAUAGACAGUUAUAAAAAAUUAUGGUAAUAUUACUAAUUAGGAGAAAUGUAGUCUUGGAUCUAUACUAGAACAAACAGCCUAACCAUUAUAGAUUGCCUUCCAUUAAUUUCCAUCUGUGAGUGUCUAGCCUAUUAGAGUGCCUGCAUUCAGUAAAUGUGGUUGUACAUAAAGCAACUAGAUAUGGGACCAGCCACUUACCACAUCUGAUCACUGAAUCUAACUGACUUAUGUACGAUUGCUUUUGAUCUAUGCUAACUAUCUUUAUCUCAGUGCAAAUCUCAGCUUCCUAUCUGUUAUUUUAAAAACGCUUUCAUCAAAGAAUAGCAGCAGGUUGGGCUGAAUUAUAGGGUUUGAGUUUAGUUUUUCUUUUUUAAUUCUGUUAGAAACAAAGCAACAUCAAACAUGGGCUGCUUCUUUUAAACCAAAUAGUCAUUACUAUCUUGAUGAGCUAGUUUGUGUUUAUUUCUUAAGAAAAAAGAGGAAGGGAAAAAGUGUUAGAUGGGUAGAUAAAGAAUAAUUCUAAUUUAAUUUAUAUUACCAAAGCUAGGCAUAUCCAAAUGUUCUCUCUCUCUCUUUCUCUCUCUCUCUCUCUCUCUCUCCCCUCUCUCUCUUGGUACAGAGGUGAAUGGAAGUCUGCCUAAUGCUUAAGCAAAAAGUACACUUGAUUGUUUCAGAUUUAGGAUUUUUCUGAGCUGCUUGGAUGUGCAAGGCCGUAAUUACCUUGCAGUGGAAAAUUCAAAUCCACUAGGAUAGGCCAGUGUUGAGUAUGAAGUGGAAAGAGUGUUGCCCUGGGGUACAAGUCCUGCCCUUCCUUUGGGAUUAUGCAUUUUGACCAGAGACAGGUCAUAGAAUAUAAGUUACAUGUUUCUAGGUUUUCCUAUUCACAAAAUGAUGAUAAAAAUGCUUAGAAGUUCCUUUGAAAUAAACUGUCCACAUGAAUAUUAGAUUUGUGGGCUACCUUUUGUUCUAUGGCAGAAAAGAAAUUAUGUCCCCUGGAGAAUUUUAGUUAGAUCUUCAGAAAGAAUAGAUGGAAAAUUGACACUAAAUGGGGUGUGUAUUCUCUUUUCUAUAUUCAUGUUCUCUAAACAAAUGUUAUAACACCUAUUUUAUUUAAUCUUACAAAUAGAUACUGAACAAAUGAAGAAGUCAGUGCAUAAAUCAAGAGAGCACUGCAAAUACUAAGAAUCAUUUCAUAAAACUUUGCUCUUAGUCAUACAUAAAGUCUAGGCCACAUGUAUAUCUUACUGUGGUUUGUGCUAGUCACUGCUGAUAAGAGAGUGUCAUAUAACAAUUUGAAUAGAAACAUAUAAUUACUUAAAUAAGCUAUCCAUCAUGGAAGGCAUAAACAUAGUGUUUAAAUAUUUUCUUUUUAUCAUUCUACUCCCUGCAUUGCAAUAUAACUUCAGGUUUUUUAAAACAACCCCCUCCAUUGUACUAUGUUGUUUGCUUUUGUGUGUAUUUGAAUUUUUUUGUAAUAAAAAUGUUUUGAAAACCUCUUA